UACGAAGGGGGCUAGCGUUGCUCGGAAUCACUGGGCGUAAAGCGCACGUAGGCGGCUCUUUAAGUCAGGGGUGAAAUCCUGGAGCUCAACUCCAGAACUGCCUUUGAUACUGAGGGGCUUGAGUCCGGGAGAGGUGAGUGGAACUGCGAGUGUAGAGUGAAAUUCGUAGAUAUUCGCAAGAACACCAGUGGCGAAGGCGGCUCACUGGCCCGGUACUGACGCUGAGGUGCGAAAGCGUGGGGAGCAAACAGG
RNAcentral lists this ribosomal RNA (252 nucleotides) under uncultured bacterium. Its description in RNAcentral is "partial 16S ribosomal RNA". It matches the Rfam family "Bacterial small subunit ribosomal RNA", at positions 524 to 776 of the family's 1533-position model. The record is from RNAcentral.